Molecule: long non-coding RNA, 1136 nt
Filed under: Homo sapiens (human)
Lineage: Eukaryota; Metazoa; Chordata; Mammalia; Primates; Hominidae
Description: HSALNT0217236
Source: RNAcentral
CUCUGCUUCCUCAGGAAUCCCCUAACGUGAUGAGGAUCACACAGCAAAGAAGACACAGGCUUCAUCAUCAAGCAGACCUGGACCUGUCCUUCUCGCUGUCUACACUGGGCAAGUGGCUUCUCUAAACCUCAGUUUCUUCAUCUGUAAAAGGGGAAGAAUGUUCUACUGGCAAGAUUGUUGUGCGGGCCAAGGGAAAUGAGGACAUGAAACCCCAGCCACCAGCAGGUCUCAACAGGCGUCAGCAUCCGGGACACCAGCCACAGCUGUGAGGCUUCAGGAACCUGGUCCACUUGACCCUCCUCGCCAGAGUCACCAUCCAGACCCAGCCUUGACCCACAGCCGCUCUGGAGGGGACGGGGCAGUGGGAUUUGGGAUCGGGAGAACUUGGUUCAAGUCCUAGCCCUGCUGGUAUCUGCUGGCCUCCCCCAGGGCCUGAUUUCCCCGUCGGCCAGGUAAGGAUAAUGAUCUAUUGAUUUUAAAGCAUGUCACCAGGGCUAAAUGAGGCAUGAAAGUGCUUUGUCCCCUGGCACUUCUGCCCUUCCUGUUUUUGGUGCCAAAACCCUUAGCCUGGCCAGGCUUGGUGAGAGGCACCGUGAGGCUGCUAGCCUGAGCCCUAGCUCUGUCCCUGGCUGGCGGGCUGUCCUUUGCAAGUGACCGCUCUGCCCCAGUUGUUUCACCUGCAAAUGAUAACAGCCAGCACCAGCUUCGCUCAUGAUGGAAGCCCCGGUGUUAAGCCCCUGCCUCCGCCUCCACUUGGCCAGCUCCAGGCAAGGCGGCCACUGUGGCAGUGACUGUCAGAAUUGCUCUCUUACAAGGUGCUGCUUGCACCAAACUCAGGUGGGGGUGUCUGUGUUGCAAACACAAGCACACGCACUACACACACAUACACAGCACAUGCCACACACAUGCACACACCUCACACACCACACAUACCACAGGCAUACAUAUACACACCACAUAGCACAUAGAACACACACACACUCCACACACACCACAUGCCACACACCACACACAUACACCACACCCUGCACGUAUACACAGCACAUGCCACAUGUAUGCACACCACACACCACACAUACCACAAACAUACAUAAACACACAUCACACACACAGCACAUGCCACACACAUACCACAC